Molecule: ribosomal RNA, 511 nt
Filed under: uncultured bacterium
Lineage: Bacteria
Description: bacterial SSU rRNA
Rfam family: Bacterial small subunit ribosomal RNA
Source: RNAcentral
UAGUCCACGCCGUAAACGAUGGAUACUCGGUGCAGGAGGCUUCGAUCCUUUCUGUGCCUAAGCUAACGCGUUAAGUAUCCCGCCUGGGGAGUACGGUCGCAAGAUUAAAACUCAAAGGAAUUGACGGGGGAUCCACACAAGCGGUGGAGCAUGUGGUUUAAUUCGACGAUAAGCGAGGAACCUUACCUAGACUUGACAUCUCGAGAACCCUGUGGAAACACGGGGGUGCCCUUGUGGAACUCGAUGACAGGUGCUGCAUGGUUGUCGUCAGCUCGUGCCGUGAGGUGUACGGUUAAGUCCGAUAACGAGCGCAACCCUUGUCACUAGUUGUAUUUCUCUAGUGAGACUGCCCGUGUAAGCGGGAGGAAGGUGAGGAUGACGUCAAAUCAGCAUGGCUCUUACGUCUAGGGCUACACACGUGCUACAAUGGGGUAUACAAUGGGUAGCCAACCCGCGAGGGGGAGCCAAUCCCAUCAAAGUAUCUCCAAGUUCGGAUUGAAGGCUGCAAUUU